This 101-nucleotide small nuclear RNA is filed under the name Nicotiana sylvestris (wood tobacco). The record is from RNAcentral. Lineage: Eukaryota; Viridiplantae; Streptophyta; Magnoliopsida; Solanales; Solanaceae.
GUCCCUUCGUAGAUAUUCCAUAAAAUUAGAACGAUACAGACAAGAUUAGCAUGGCCCUAGCAAGGAUGCCAUGCACAAAUCAAGAAAUGAUCCAAAUUUUU